AGGGGUCUGGGGGGUCGUGAGGGGCUUUGAGGGGUCUUGAAGGGCUUUGAUGGCCCGUGAGGAGCUGUGAGGUGUCGAGAAGGGGUUUGAAAGCUCGGAGGGGCUUUUAGGGGUCGUAAGGGGCUUUGAGUGAUCCUGAGUGGGGGUCUCGGGGACCGCCGCGAUGGUGGAGAAGGACGAGUCCAGCCCUGGCGGCAUCAGCGAGGAGGAGGCGGCUCAGUACGACCGGCAAAUCCGGCUCUGGGGGCUCGAGGCCCAGAAACGGUUACGGGCAUCGCGGGUGCUGCUGGUGGGGCUGCGUGGGCUGGGGGCCGAGGUGGC
Onychostruthus taczanowskii (white-rumped snowfinch) is the source of this 321-nucleotide long non-coding RNA. RefSeq lists it as uncharacterized. Lineage: Eukaryota; Metazoa; Chordata; Aves; Passeriformes; Passeridae. The transcript is spliced from 2 exons. The record is from RefSeq and is a predicted model, not a curated record.